This is a transfer RNA of 72 nucleotides. It matches the Rfam family "tRNA". From Rfam's summary of the family: Transfer RNA (tRNA) molecules are approximately 80 nucleotides in length. Their secondary structure includes four short double-helical elements and three loops (D, anti-codon, and T loops). Further hydrogen bonds mediate the characteristic L-shaped molecular structure. tRNAs have two regions of fundamental functional importance: the anti-codon, which is responsible for specific mRNA codon recognition, and the 3' end, to which the tRNAs corresponding amino acid is attached (by aminoacyl-tRNA synthetases). tRNAs cope with the degeneracy of the genetic code in two manners: having more than one tRNA (with a specific anti-codon) for a particular amino acid; and 'wobble' base-pairing, i.e. permitting non-standard base-pairing at the 3rd anti-codon position.
GGGCACUUAGCUCAGUGGUAGAGCGACUGUUUUACACACAGUAGGUCGGGGGUUCGAUCCCCUCAGUGCCCA